GUUAAAGUGGCAGAGCCCGGACACUGCAAAAGACCUAAGCCCUUUCCACGGAGGUUCAAAUCCUCCCUUUAACU
This 74-nucleotide transfer RNA is filed under the name Neolamprologus caudopunctatus. Its description in RNAcentral is "tRNA-Leu". It matches the Rfam family "tRNA". Rfam says of the family: Transfer RNA (tRNA) molecules are approximately 80 nucleotides in length. Their secondary structure includes four short double-helical elements and three loops (D, anti-codon, and T loops). Lineage: Eukaryota; Metazoa; Chordata; Actinopteri; Cichliformes; Cichlidae. RNAcentral also lists the same sequence under 2 other names. The record is from RNAcentral.